UUGGCUCUUUUCCACUGAAAUAGCCCAGUAGAAAUGUCACCCCCAUAAUACACUUUAAUGCUCAGAUUUCAGUUUCUAAUGCUAUUUUUCUCCCAAAGGAGCCAAGGUUUCUUGAAGCAAUAGCUGAUUCUAUAUCAGUCCUGGCUGGGAGAUACAAGGAUAACUUCCCGCGAGCACAGAUCUGUUUCUUUUGAGUCUGGCAGGACUGCACUCCUUCGCCGGCUUCCGGAGCCACCAGGCGGGAACGACCUCAUUACGUCCACGGUGUCUGGCGCCACCCUAUGGCUGAGCAGAGGAUUAAAUGGGACAAUGUAUGUGAAGUCCUGAGUGCAGUGGCUGGUGUGCAGUCAAUGCUCAAUGAUUCUAAUUGGCUGAACUUCUUGCUGAUUGGCCCAUUGCUCUGCUUUUGGACAAAGCAAGGUGAUAUUUGGUCAAGCCAGAAGCCUGGGGGUGAGUCAGCUUUGACUCUGCUUGGCUUAUCUCCUGUUCUGGAGUCUGAAUAUGGGAGAAGGAGAAGAACCUGGGACCUACCCUGAGGAGUACCAGAGUGAAAGGAGGGAAGAAGGAUCUUCAAAGGAGGAUGAGAAGUUGGAGGAACACUAGGAAUGGGUCCUGACGAGAUAGGAGAGAGGAGUCAGAAGUGCUACCUGUCAUCAGAUCCAGAACCAAAUUGUUCCUGCUUUGACGUCAAGAGUAGUUUGGGCAAUUAGAAAAUAAAUACUGUUUUAAAAUUUAGUAACUCUUAACUGGGGCUUGAAGAGUAUUUGGGGUAAAGGGAUGCAUAAAUCAUUUCCUAGGGGAAGCUCCUAUCAACACUAACUACAGAAUAUGUACAAGAUACGAGUGACCAGAGAUUUCAACUAGAUCUGACCCAGAGCAGCUCCUCAAAGUCAAGGCAUGUGUCUUACCACCAACUCAUUUGCAGCACCUAGCUUAGUGCCUGGCAUUCAUUUGUUCUUUUCACGAAUCGUUGUUGCACCCUUAGGUCCUGGGCACACAGCAGGUAUUCAAUAUAUAUAUGAUAGAUGAAUCAAGCUAUUUAUAUAUACAUAUCAUGUUCUAAAAAUCAUGUACCUAAAAAAAUUCCAGAUUUGCCUGCCUGACAAUUUUAGCUCCCAGGACGCAUGGGAAGAAGAGACAGUUAGAAGUAAAAAUAAUUUCUACUUGCCAAUGAAGGAAUCCAGAUUUUGAGCAAGUCUUGAAUUUUCUGGUAAUGAAAAACUUAAUGAAAAAAAUUGUUGUUCGAUGGAUUCAUACGACCAAAAUUGUUAUCUGUGAGCAAUUAAAAAUUAAAUAUAGGAUAUUCCUUACUAAAUUUUUAAGGAUAAGGGCUACUCUGGAGUUAGGUUGGAUGUGUCCCUGAAGGAAGGUGAUGCCAGGAAUCUUUCAGGGCGCCACUCUGAAGCCACAGUGAUCCAUAUGGAUUCCUUUGUCCUACAGAAUGAGAUUUAACAUGGACCCCUAGAUCUUUGCAGUGGAAAAUAAACUCCCUUCCUCUGUGACCCAUUUUGGAAAAAAAGAGAAGAGGAACUAUGUAAUAAAAUUUUCUCUUUUGAAGAUUCUGGUAGCACUAAGGAUAGAAAUUUUGCAGGCAGAUGCUGGGGCUGGGUUCAGAACACUCUGAGUGCUUCUGUGUCCAUAGGCAGCCUUCCAGGUUGGCCACGGCUGGCUUUGUCGAAGUUGAUUAGGAUGCAAAGCAGUGAUGCAGACUUGUUCAUGGAGCUUGUCUCACCUUUGUCCCUUCAACUCUGCCUAGGCCCAUUCCUAAGUGUGAAAGUUCUGAUUGUUAUCUUGGUUACAGAAUCCCAUUCCUUGUCUGUUUUCUUUUGCCCUUAUCCUCACAUUUCUUUGAAUGUCCUUUCAUGGGACGCCUUGAUCUGCUCCCAAAGAAAUGCAAUUAUCAGAAAUCAACCUCUCUCACCCAUUUCUGCCCUAAGCAGCUUUUGCCCACUGGUGAAUUUCACAUUGUACUGAGAAAGUCAGCAACUAAUACUAAUAACAAUAAAAUAUGUUUGUAUUUUUAGAUGACUUUUUCCACUGAGGACUCCCUGGUGAGAGCCAGGCGCUGAGCAGAGUGAGGGUGUAUAUGAGCUGGAAAUAGAGAGCAAGAAAGAGACCUGGCCGGUUGAAGCCUUUUCUUGACAGCUAAUUUCCAUUUUUUGGUAUCAAGGGGUCUGUGCCAGUAAUUGGCAUGCAGAUUGUGUCUGAUGGGCCUGUUAUACAGAAUAAAGGAAUCUGCUAGUUAGAAUAAGCCAACCCCAGGCUGAUGGAUGGGGCAUAAGGAGGUCAUUGCAAAAGAGAAAUUGUGUGUGUGUGUCCGUGUGUGUGUGUGUGUGUGUGUGUGUGUGUGUUUCACAAGAAUUGCUACCCCCCUCCCUUUUCCCUCUUUAUCCGGCAAACUCUAAUCUUUCAUAUUGCAUUGAGACAAAUGUUAAACCAUUUCUCUCCCUCUCUCUGUUUUUUCCUUGAAGGGAUAUUUGAUGGAACCCACUCUGGGUUUAAUAAAGUGUGCGGGCAAAGGAGAAAUUAAAGCAGUGUCAUGGUUUGUUAGCAGCCCAGGAUCGUCCAGGAUGGGCCCCGGCUACAAAUUAUACUCUGGAAUUAAUUGGCAGUAGGUAGUUCUCCUGUCCAUCAUUCUUAAUCCAGCAGCUAUGGGAUAUCGACAGGAAAACGUGUGCUGUUAUCCAUUUCCCCUUUACUUUGUCUGAGUUAGUUAGUCGUUUUCUUGAUCCCCACUCCAUGUGUCGAUUAGAAAGGAGUUGUACUAUUUACCUGUACUGUUACUUCUUAAGUUAGCUAUGCAAUCCUGGGCAUCCUCCUAAGGACAGUGCU
This is a long non-coding RNA of Nycticebus coucang (slow loris), 2832 nucleotides long. RefSeq lists it as uncharacterized. NCBI's taxonomy places the organism in Eukaryota, Metazoa, Chordata, Mammalia, Primates, Lorisidae. The transcript has 4 exons. The record is from RefSeq and is a predicted model, not a curated record.